RNAcentral lists this ribosomal RNA (253 nucleotides) under uncultured bacterium. RNAcentral's name for it is "partial 16S ribosomal RNA". It matches the Rfam family "Bacterial small subunit ribosomal RNA", at positions 524 to 776 of the family's 1533-position model. The record is from RNAcentral.
UACGAAGGGUGCAAGCGUUACUCGGAAUUACUGGGCGUAAAGCGUGCGUAGGUGGUUUGUUAAGUCUGCUGUGAAAUCCCCGGGCUCAACCUGGGAAUGGCCGUUGAAACUGGCGAACUGGAGUGUGGCAGAGGGGGGUGGAAUUCCGCGUAUAGCAGUGAAAUGCGUAGAGAUGCGGAGGAACACCGAUGGCGAAGGCAGCCCCCUGGGCUGACACUGACGCUCAGGCACGAAAGCGUGGGGAGCAAACAGG